ACCAACGUGGCCGAGUGGUUAAGGCGGCAGACUUAAGUAUCUUUACUAGGAUUCUGCUACAGUAAUGUGCGCGGGUUCGAACCCCGUCGUUGGUA
Molecule: transfer RNA, 95 nt
Filed under: Fusarium acuminatum
Lineage: Eukaryota; Fungi; Ascomycota; Sordariomycetes; Hypocreales; Nectriaceae
Also listed under: 1 other name
Description: tRNA-Leu
Rfam family: tRNA
About the family: Transfer RNA (tRNA) molecules are approximately 80 nucleotides in length. Their secondary structure includes four short double-helical elements and three loops (D, anti-codon, and T loops).
Source: RNAcentral